GACGAACGCUGGCGGCGUGCUUAACACAUUCAAGUCUAACGGAAAGGCCCUGCUUUUUUUGUGUUCUCUUGUUGCGAACGUGUGUGUAACACGUUAUUAACCUGCCCUUUACUUUUUGAUAACUUCAGUAAACUUUUGCUAAUACCUGAUAGUAUCUCCUGCUGCAUGGUGGGGGUUGGAAAGUUUCGGCGGUUGGGGAUGGACUCGCGGCUUAUCAGCUUGUUGGUGGGGUAGUGGCUUACCAAGGCUUUGACGGGUAGCCGGCCUGAGAGGGUGACCGGAGACAAUGGGACUGAGAUACGGACCAGAAUGGAACGGGAGGCAGGAGUGGGGAAUAGUGCAAAAUGGGCGGAAGCCUGAUGAAGAAACGCCGCGUGCGGGAUGACGGCCUACGGGUUGAAAACAGAUUUCGACUGAGACGAAGAGUGAGUGACGGUAAUGGGUAAAGAAGGACCGGCUAACUACGUG
RNAcentral lists this ribosomal RNA (468 nucleotides) under uncultured bacterium. RNAcentral's name for it is "partial 16S ribosomal RNA". It matches the Rfam family "Bacterial small subunit ribosomal RNA", at positions 28 to 507 of the family's 1533-position model. The record is from RNAcentral.